UGUAAGCGUAUACCAAAGUUGUUGCAGUUAAAACGCUCGUAGUCGGAAUUUGGCAGUUCCGGAUGUGUGCACGUCGUGUGCGCACUUCGCGGGGAUUGCUUUUGUGGUCUUGCGUAGGAUGAGGCACUUUUAUUAGUGAACGUCCUCACGCAACCACUUUUUACUGUGAGAAAAUCAGAGUGCUCAAAGCAGGCAUUUGCCGUGAAUGUAUUAGCAUGGAAUAAUAGAAUAGGACUUGGUUCUAUUUUGUUGGUUUGUUGGGACUGAGUAAUGAUUAAGAGGGACAGUUGGGGGCAUUUGUAUUUCGGCGCUAGAGGUGAAAUUCUUAGAUUGCCGAAAGACAAACUGCUGCGAAAGCGUCUACCAAGGAUGUUUUCAUUGA
This 382-nucleotide ribosomal RNA is filed under the name uncultured eukaryote. Its description in RNAcentral is "partial 18S ribosomal RNA". It matches the Rfam family "Eukaryotic small subunit ribosomal RNA", at positions 592 to 976 of the family's 1831-position model. The record is from RNAcentral.